UGACAGUGCUGAUGUAAUCCAUGAGCAAACAGCGUGGACCAAAACAGUCCCCAGGAGAGGCUGGUGCAGGAAGGCUCAGACACUGUGUUCUCUGACAUAAUUUAUAGGCCCAUGGCAUAUGUGGGGAACUGAGAGGUCUUUGGUCAACAGUCACUGGGGACCUGGGUCCCGCCAACAACCACAUGAUUCAUUUUGGAAGCAGAUCCUCCCCUACAUGAGCCGUCAGAUGAUCACAGCCACAUAUGACAGCUUGAUGGCAACCUCAUGAGAGACACAGAACUGAAACCACCCUGAUUCCUGACCCACAGAAAUUAUGAGCAUCUCAGCAUCUCAGAGGCGAAGAAACUGGCCUAGCCAUCACAUGGUGGCACUUGCAGCCUGAGUCAGCAGAUCCCCAGGCAAAUGAAGACUUUGAGAUGAAGACAGCUGAGCUCAUGAUGGGGUAGGUCAGCCUCCGUCAUGGAAAUUCUGUGUGCCUGAGGCCCACCCUUCCAGUGCAGAUGGAGGGAUGGGAUGGAAAUGAAUCUAGGGGAAUGCAUCCCAGCUGUGAUCCAGCCACCUCUGCGUUUGAAGGCUGGGGGUUAUUCCCUCCUCAUGGUUGCCACGCAUUCCUAUGUUUGCGUGUCAUGCUUGGAACUGCUGCAGCCACUUUGUGACAGACUGAGAAUGAAUCCAGCGCUAAAAUCAGUCUAGCAAAAGGAGGAGAAACACCUGGGUCUCCAUGAUGUCACUGAGCAAGUGAAUUGACCAGCUGUGAGGAUAUAAGCAUAAGAUGUCUGGAACGAUCUUCAUCCAAUGCUAGCCAUCGCUAUUUCUAGACGGUGGAAUUUCUAGAUGGCGGAGUCUGGGAGAGACAUUCAGAAUUGGUCAUGGCUUUCCGGGAAGAUCAUCUGGAGACACCCCCUGGACCAAUGGCAUUUUCUCUCCCAAGUCUUUGCCUCCAGAUGGCCUCAAGAGAUGAAGCUGAAUAGAGACAUUUCCCAAACUCAACAGUCUGACCAGGAAGGCAAUGAGCCAGAACAGAAAAUAUCGAUGAGAACCUAGAUGUUCUAUCAAACCAAACCCUUGCCAGGAAGAGGAACACAUUAGCACUUGAGGUCAGUUGGCAUGUUUGGGCAACUGUGGAACAGGGAACACAAUUCAGAUUUAUCUUCACCAGCUCCAUGAGUGAAGCCCGGUCAUGGGACCUCUCUGAGCUUCAGUAUUCUCAUCUGUAAGAUGGGAAAUAAUAUCUUAUUACAGGGCAGGCUGUUGGAUGGAUUAAAAUGGAAAUGAAGGUGUUUUGCUUGUAAUUGCAGAUGCUGGUGGGAUUUAGGAGAUUGUCUAGCAGUGGUGGUAUCAUUAUGCAGAGAAGCAGUGGAGGUGUGGAUCACCACCGGGUACCCAUCGGGGAAGGGCAUUCAUGAUCCCCAGAAAUGGCACCACUGAGGCAUGACAACCUUUGAAAUUGUUUACUUGGGCAAGAGACACUCAACCUAUACAGGGACUACCUGCCAUCAGCACAGAAUGGUCUAAAAUUGGCUUUGGGAAAAUGGCCUAGAAUCACAUUUUGAUUCUGCGUUUGUGAAUACAAACUCUAAAGUCAGAGUUGUACCAACAUUGAUGAAUUUUCACAAAGGAAGCAUUUUUCAGAGCAAACUCCCUUAAGCUAAUUUAAUUACUGGAUCGAUGUCUUGCAUAGCAUAGUUAAAUUGUUUCUAAUUUUUUUGGAAACAUUUUUACUGGGGUCAAUUCUUUUGUGUUUAAAUUUUAUAAAUAUUUGCUUCAUCGAUCAGGAUUUGGACCACAACAAAUUUUACUAAUUUAUAACUUCUGCCAUUUUGAGUUUUGUUUUGCGGUUAUUAUUUCCACUAAGUCCAUUUCUCCUGGGUCAAAAUUGUACAGAGAUCCAAAAUUAGCUAAGAAGAUUUGAGUCAUCUAUGGAUUUUUAGUCAAUACCAAAUUUCACCCUGUGUGCUUUCAGCUCUUGUCAGUUUAUUUUGUGUGGUUUAUUUUUUACCAAUAAUAUUCACUGUGAAUUGGGCAAAAAAGAUAGAUGGUUAAUAUUUAUUUUUUUUAGCUGAUAAUAAAUCCUGAGUGAUUUUGUAAGACAGAGGCAGAGAGAAGCAGAGAAGGGGAGAGGAUAGAAGAGAGGAAGAGAACUAGGGAGGAGGAAGAGAUCCAGAUGCAAGGAGGUACCAAGCAAAACACGAAGACAGAGACAGAAAGAGAGAAAAAAGAUGAGAAAGAGAAAGUGAGGAAGAGAAACAGAGAAGGAGAAAGGGAUGGUAGUAAGGUACAGAGAGGGAGAGAAUAAAAAGUGAGAUAUAUUAAUUGCAAGAAACUAAGAGAAAAAAGGGGGGAAAGAAAGAGAGAAAAAGAGGAUAGAAGAAGGUAACGGGGAAGGAGUGAGAAGGACAGUGAUAUGGUUUGUCUGUGUGCCCACCCAAAUCUCAUCUUGAAUUGUAGCUCUCAUAAUUCCCACCUGUUGUGGGAGGGACCCAGUGGGGGAUAAAUGAAUCAUGGGGGCAGUUUACCCCAUAAGGUUCUUGUGGUAGUGAAUAAGUCUCAUGAGAUAUGAUUGUUUUAGAAGAGUUUUCCCCUUUUACUUGGUUCUCAUUCUCUCUUGCCUGCCACCAUGUAAGACAUGCCUUUCACCUUCCACCAUGAUUGUGAGGCCUCCCCAGCCACAUGGAACUAUGAGGACACUGAGGCCCAGAGAUCUCUGCCCAAUGUUUCCAGACCGGUCUGUCACUCACCAAAGCAGUGUGCCUUCAGGACACCAUUGCCGGGCUCCCCCAGUGCAAGGCCUCAGCUGGGAUGCAGGGUCAGAGAACUGGCUCUGCAUACUUUGUGAAAGUUGGGAAAGUCUAAAUAUUUCUCUAAGCCUUGAUUUCCCCAUCUGACAGGAAGGAAAACAUAAUCUGUCUCCUAUGUUUAUGCACUGGUUGAAUGAAGUCACAGCCAUAAAUUUGUUUGGUGAAUUGCAAAGCACUAUGCAAUGCUGUAUUUUCUUCACCACAACUCAUGCUCUGACAUAUGAACAGUAUUGGUUCUUUCUGGAAUGUUACUCUUUAUAGAGCUUCUUAGAUUGUACUUUUCAAGGGUUGAGGUCAGAGCUAACCAUUCUGCUGCAGAUUUCACGAAGCAUAGCAUUUUUAUAAUAUUAGAAAGAUGGCUCAAAAAGGUUUUCUUUGUUCAGACUUUUCUUGAACAUUUACUAUGUGCUGGAAGUUGCACUCUUUGCCUGAAUAUCUCAUUUAAUCUUUACAGUGCAUUUCUAAGUGAAGGCAGCACAAUUAGUAUAAUUUUAUAAAAGUGGAAAACUGGAGUCUAAGAUGUUAAUAACUUGUCCGAGGUCCCAACACUGGAUGUCACUGGAGUGGGAAUUUGAAUCCCGGAUGCUUAUCCUUUAAGCACCCCAUCAUACUGUUAGUAGUGACGACAUCGCGGAAUUGUCACACAGGAGGACUGAAAGACAGGGACUCUCAGGGGCCAGAAAACAUGAGAGUGAAAGAGAGAUUCCGAAAAACAUCGAGAUUUGUGAAAAUGCUAUUAUGUGUUAGAUAGAAUGCAGGGUACUUUCCAUAAGUCAACUUGGUUAUUUCUCAGAGGAAUUCCAGGAAAUAGGAUUUUACACAUGUGGGAAACAGGCUGAGAGAGGUUAUUUAAUUUGCCAAAGGUCACACAGCUGGUAUUAGAGACAGAAUAUUAAAGUAGGCGUUUCUUACCCCAAAAUCCGCUCUCUGCACCAAGAGGCCACUCAGAAAAUAUAAAAAUAAGCAAAUCAAAUAAAUCGACUAUGUAAGUUUGAAGGCUUCAAGAAAAUAUAAAUACUUACACCCAGAAAUUCUAUGUCCUGGUUUCAUUCCUAGAAAACCACUUGUAGAGGUACACAGAGGACUCCCCAAUGAUCCUUAACACAGCCAUAUGACUGAUAGCCCUCAUCCCACCCCCCCAAAAACAGUCUAGUGAGAAGAAAAUGCUUAAAAAUACUCUGAUGCAUGCAUAUCAUAGAAUUCUUUCCAGCAGUCAAAGAGAAUGAAGGCAAAAAAUGGAAAGCUCUCCAAAACAUAUCGUUCACUGAAAACCAAACUGUGACAUACUGCAUAGAGUUUGAUAGCAUUCCACAGAAUAAAAUUUUAUUCUGUGUGGACGUAUUAAUAUAUACAAAUGCAGACCGGGCACGGUGGCUCACUCCUGUAAUCCCAGCACUUUGGGAGGCCGAAGUGGGUGGAUUACUGAAGGUUAGGAGUUUGAGAUCAGCCUGGGCAACAUGGUGAAACCCCAUCUCUAUUAAAAAUACAAAAAUCAGCUGGGCAUCAUGGCGCACCCCUGUAGUAGCCUGUAAACCCAGCUACUCUGGUGGCUGAGGCAGGAGAAUCACUUGAACCUGGGAGCCAGAGGUUGCAGUGAGCCUAGAUCGUACCACUGCACUCCAGCCUGGGCAAGAGAGCAAGACUCUGUCUCAGAAAAACACAUAUGCAAAUGCAUAUAAUAAAAGUCUUGGAGAAAUGGAACGUACAUCAAACAGACAACAGAUUGGCAUUGAGAUGCCAAGCCAAAGGAAUGCUUCCUUAUCUAUAUUUUCAUUUUUUUUUUUACAAUGAGGAUACAUUUUUUAAUGAGAAGCAAUAUAGCAUAAUGGUUAAGGGCAUAGCUCCUAGAGCCAGUUCAAAUCCCAGCUCUGAAGCUUACCAGCACUGUGCCUGCGUCAUGACUUAAGCUGUCUGUAUAGUGGAGAUGCUGGGCAUGCCAACCUCCCAGAGAAGCUGUGAAGAUUAAACGAAGAGUUAUAGGUAAUGCACUCAUAAAAGCUGCUGGGGCUGGGUGUGGUGGCUCAUGCCGGUAAUCCCAACACUUUGGGAGGCUGAGGAGGGUGGAUCCCCUGAGGUCGGGAGUUCGAGACCAGUCUGGCCAAGAUGGCGAAACCCCAUCUCUACUAAAAAUACAAAAAUUAGCUGGGCAUGGUGGCACACACCUGUAAUCCCAGCUACUCUGGAGGCUGAGGCAGGAGAAUCACUUGAUCCUGGGAGGUAGAGAUUGCAGUGGGCCGAGAUUGCGCCGUUGCACUCCAGCCUGGGUGAAUGAACCAGACUCUGUCUCAAAAAGAAAAACUUCCUGGCAUGGAGUGAGGGCUACCUAAACAACUGAGACCAGGAGGCAGGGGAUAGGGAAGGUAUGGGAAAUCGGCCAGCACAAUUACCACCUGAUGGUGGGAGUUCACACGCAAGAAUCCACUUUGCAUACCUGUGUGCUGUGCAUCCCUGUGGAAAACACCACCACUCCCCACAGCACACCCAGAUAAAGUACUGGGCAGCAUGGCCUCUUCCCCUGGUCCCCAAGACACCUGAGGACAGCCUCCACUGGCAGCACUGAUGUCGGAUACCUAUCAGGAGGUGAUGUUGGGAAAACCACACUACAGCCUAGGUGAGUAUACCUCCAAAUUCAUGUCCACCUGGGACAUCAGAGUAUGCCCUUAUUUGAAAAUCAUGUCUUUGCAGAUAUAAUUGUUUAAGGAUCUUGAGAUAAAGUCAUCCUGGAUUUAGGGUGGGUCCUAACUCCAACGGCUGGAGUCCUUAGAAGAAGAGGAGACAUACCAAGGGAAGAAGGUCACCUGGAGAUGGAGGCAGAGAUUGCAGAGAUGCAGCCACAAGCCAAGAAACACCUGGAGGCACCAGAAACUGGAGGACGCGAAGAAUGGCCCUCGCUUAGAGCCUUCAGAGGGAGCAAGGCCCUGCUAACACCUUGAUUUUGGACUCUGGCCCCCAGAACUGAGAGAAUAAAAUUCUGUUGUUGCAACCCACCAUGCUUGUUAUUUGUUAUGGCCACUCUAGGAAACUACUUCACUGGGGACACCUGAAGGUGCAGUACCUGAGUUCCUAUCACUCCUCCACCUGCGUUUCUCUAUGGGAGGAAGGAGGCGGGGCUUGCUUUGGGAGAGGCAGCUGUCUGGGGUUGGCCCCGUGCACUUUCCAUGGGGUGUAAACAGUGUCUCCUAACCUGUGUUAGAGGCUUUCCAUGGUCUGAGUGAGCCCAGUGCCAGGAAAACUCACUUCUCCCUGCAGCAAGAGAACACACAGGGCUGAUACAUUAACACCAUGACCUUUUUAGCACCUGG
Gorilla gorilla gorilla (western lowland gorilla) is the source of this 6100-nucleotide long non-coding RNA. RefSeq lists it as uncharacterized. Lineage: Eukaryota; Metazoa; Chordata; Mammalia; Primates; Hominidae. The record is from RefSeq and is a predicted model, not a curated record. The transcript is spliced from 9 exons.